ACCUUAUGUGGUAGCAAUACCGGAUAGGGUUAGUGGCGGACGGGUGAGUAACGCGUGGAUAACCUGCCUCCAAGUGGGGGAUAACAGUUCGAAAGGGCUGCUAAUACCGCAUAUGCCUACGACAGGGGAACCUGAUGUAGGGAAAGGGACACCGCUUGGAGAGGGGUCCGCGUCCCAUUAGCUAGUUGGGGGGGUAACGGCCCCCCAAGGCGAUUAUGUGUAGCCGGCCUGGGAGAGAGGUCGGCCACACUGGGACUGAGACACGGCCCAGACUCCUCCCCAGGCANCGGAGGGGCUCCUACUNGAAUCAGNAGUGUGAUUC
RNAcentral lists this small RNA (322 nucleotides) under uncultured bacterium. RNAcentral's name for it is "bacterial SSU rRNA". It matches the Rfam family "Bacterial small subunit ribosomal RNA", at positions 66 to 358 of the family's 1533-position model. The record is from RNAcentral.